This 728-nucleotide ribosomal RNA is filed under the name uncultured Lachnospiraceae bacterium. RNAcentral's name for it is "bacterial SSU rRNA". It matches the Rfam family "Bacterial small subunit ribosomal RNA", at positions 28 to 745 of the family's 1533-position model. The record is from RNAcentral. Lineage: Bacteria; Bacillati; Bacillota; Clostridia; Lachnospirales; Lachnospiraceae.
GAUGAACGCUGGCGGCGUGCUUAACACAUGCAAGUCGAACGGAGUUAUCAUUUUUGAAGCGAUUAGCUUGCUAAGAGUGGAAAUGUUGGUAACUUAGUGGCGGACGGGUGAGUAACGCGUGGAGAACCUGCCUUACACAGGGGGAUAACACUUAGAAAUAGGUGCUAAUACCGCAUAAGCGCACAGGACCGCAUGGUCCGGUGUGAAAAACUGAGGUGGUGUAAGAUGGCUCCGCGUCUGAUUAGCUUGUUGGUAGGGUAACGGCCUACCAAGGCGACGAUCAGUAGCCGGCCUGAGAGGGUGAACGGCCACAUUGGGACUGAGACACGGCCCAAACUCCUACGGGAGGCAGCAGUGGGGAAUAUUGGACAAUGGGGGAAACCCUGAUCCAGCGACGCCGCGUGAGUGAAGAAGUAUUUCGGUAUGUAAAGCUCUAUCAGCAGGGAAGAAAAUGACGGUACCUGACUAAGAAGCCCCGGCUAACUACGUGCCAGCAGCCGCGGUAAUACGUAGGGGGCAAGCGUUAUCCGGAUUUACUGGGUGUAAAGGGAGCGUAGACGGCAUUGCAAGUCUGAUGUGAAAGAUUGGGGCUCAACCCCAGGCCUGCAUUGGAAACUGUAAAGCUGGAGUACAGGAGAGGUAAGCGGAAUUCCUAGUGUAGCGGUGAAAUGCGUAGAUAUUAGGAGGAACACCAGUGGCGAAGGCGGCUUACUGGACUGUAACUGACG